This 43-nucleotide unclassified non-coding RNA is filed under the name Saccharolobus solfataricus. It matches the Rfam family "Small nucleolar RNA sR33", at positions 13 to 55 of the family's 55-position model. Lineage: Archaea; Thermoproteati; Thermoproteota; Thermoprotei; Sulfolobales; Sulfolobaceae. The record is from RNAcentral.
GAAUCCGGGAACUGAUCAGUGAGGACAUGCGCGAACGCUGAUU